AUCUCAAGGGCUUCUGGUAUGACGUAUUUGUGACCAAGAGGACCAGCUGCUCCAUCCCACUUAGGAGUCUGAACAAGAGUCUGGCACAACUCCAAGGCAAGACCUGAGAUGAGGAUGCUGGGAACCUUCUCAAAGGGACAAAGCACCAAGGCUAAAGCCUCCUAUAGGCUCCAGGUGGCUCACAGACAGCUGGCUGAAAUAGAUGAGCAUUUUGGCUGCAGUGCAGAAAUCCAGAGCUGCUGGAUGCUCUCCAUUUUUCAAAUAGGGAUUUGUAUCACUUUCAAUACAUUAAUGCUCAAGAUGGGGCUUCAGAGCAAGUAUACUUCUUCUCACUUGAUUUCUCACAACAAUCUUAUGAGAAACCAAUGGCAGUCUUUCCAUUUGUUUAGCACUGCCCAAGGCUGGGGAGCAGUGACCUUUGGAAGUGUGAGCUUACUCUAGUAAGUGACUCAGGAACUCUCUUACUUAGUGGUAUGUAGGGGUACUUUAAGUUCUUGAUUUGAUUAGCUAAAAGUAGACAAGGGGAGAAUUAAUCUUAUCUUCACAGUGCAACAAGCUGGUGAGUCAGUCCCCUGGGAGGUUAUGGUUAAAUUGUGAGCAUUAAGAAAAUGGAACUCUGAGGCUCUGAAGUAUGAGGAGAUUAAAAAUUAGGAGGGGUUAUGGAAAACAGAGGAAAAGAGUGUUCAUUGUAGGUCUGCAGAGUAGGUGAGAGGGUGUGGAUAGGAAAAGAUUCCCAGGGUACGGAACCUCAGAAUUGCUUCCAUGUCUGGGUUUAGCCAGGCUAGCUCUGAAUAAGUGCAGAUGUAUGAGGACUAUUCACUGGGUGUGGAAAGUGGGCAGGCGAUCUCGAAUGGGCAGAAGGAGAGCUCUAGGUCCAGAGCUGAUCUGCACAGAAUGAUCUCACUAUGUUUGGGUCCUGUGGUUGCCUUAAAUCCCAGGCAGGUUUGCUAUCCUAGAUGCUGAAUCCUGAGCAUCAUGGUCAUCAUGGUCAGAAAAAAUGGAGAGAACAAAGAGCCAAGUUGCAGGCAUAUGGAAAAACAAAAAGCUUUUGUUUUCUGAUUGUCCGCGCGUUUGGAUCCUGAACAAUGAAGGUAUUCCUAUUUUACAAAUUAAAUCAAUUAGGUCCAGAUAGGGUAACUCCUCCAAUACUAUAUAUAUCAAAUAAGUAGCAGAGAUCUGGAGUCUACUGGAUAUCAUUGCCGUCUAAUAUGGUACUCUUUACAUUCUACCAAUACUUUGCAAGGGAUAGUCAAUCAAUUGACAUUUUCCUGUCCCCAUACACCUUGAUCUCAC
RNAcentral lists this long non-coding RNA (1293 nucleotides) under Monodelphis domestica (gray short-tailed opossum). RNAcentral describes it as "lncRNA (ENSMODG00000030022.2)". Lineage: Eukaryota; Metazoa; Chordata; Mammalia; Didelphimorphia; Didelphidae. The record is from RNAcentral.